RNAcentral lists this ribosomal RNA (305 nucleotides) under uncultured bacterium. Its description in RNAcentral is "partial 16S ribosomal RNA". It matches the Rfam family "Bacterial small subunit ribosomal RNA", at positions 505 to 807 of the family's 1533-position model. The record is from RNAcentral.
ACAGCAGCAGCCGCGGUAAAACGGAGGGUGCAAGCGUUAAUCGGAAUUACUGGGCGUAAAGCGUGCGUAGGCGGUUCGUUAAGUCUGUUGUGAAAGCCCCGGGCUCAACCUGGGAAUGGCAAUGGAUACUGGCGAGCUAGAGUGUGUCAGAGGAUGGUGGAAUUCCCGGUGUAGCGGUGAAAUGCGUAGAGAUCGGGAGGAACAUCAGUGGCGAAGGCGGCCAUCUGGGACAACACUGACGCUGAGGCACGAAAGCGUGGGGAGCAAACAGGAUUAGAUACCCGUGUAGUCCCUGUCUCUUAUAC